Long non-coding RNA from Toxotes jaculatrix (banded archerfish), 289 nucleotides. RefSeq lists it as uncharacterized. The record is from RefSeq and is a predicted model, not a curated record. NCBI's taxonomy places the organism in Eukaryota, Metazoa, Chordata, Actinopteri, Toxotidae. The transcript has 3 exons.
GGCUCUCCUAAAGAAACAAAAAGACUACAGGCACGAUGUUACAGUAGAUGGAGGUGGCUGCCAAAUAUCAUCUUCUUACAGAGAGUGAUUAUGAAUUUCACGAGGCUAUGGUGGUCCCAUUGCACAAAGACUGGAAACACAGGGAAUUCAGUGUUUUACUGGGGGUUACAGGCUGGACUGUUUCUUGGCAACCAGAGGCUCCAGGAAAACCAAGAUGGCAUUUUGGAGUGUACACAAUAUACACAGGCCCCUGACCUACAGUAGCUGACGCUGAUGAUACAGUUGAAGA